This is a long non-coding RNA of Pteropus alecto (black flying fox), 3142 nucleotides long. RefSeq lists it as uncharacterized. Lineage: Eukaryota; Metazoa; Chordata; Mammalia; Chiroptera; Pteropodidae. The record is from RefSeq and is a predicted model, not a curated record. The transcript has 6 exons.
UUCUCCAUUGGCCACAUCGGAGGCUGCUUUUCCAGGAUGUCCUGCAGCCAUGGAGUUUGACUGCGUGCCGGAAAUUGUAGUUCAGCACGCAAAGCUGUCUACCAGCAGCUCCAGGAUUAAAUCUUCAAUAGAAGAAGAGUUUCUUUCUUCCUAAGAGUUCCAUCAAAAGUCCCAGAAAGACUCUCUGUGGCCAUUCCUAGAUCCCUGCGGGACCCAGAGGUGAAUCACACCCAUGUAAACCAUGUGGGCUGGGAAUGGGAAGGAAUGACUUCUAAGUGAAAAUUGAGAACUAUUGCUAAAAGAACAAGAAUGGAUGCUGGCCAGAGAAGCAAAAACAACGUGUACUGCGGGAUUGUAAAUGAGUGCUACGAACACAGAAAUAAACAAUAAGGACUGAUAAUGUACAAAUAGAAGAUGCAUGACGUCCUGAGGGAGAACAGUGGAGGGAGACCUAAUCGAGCCUUGGACAUGCAGAUGGCAUUGAGAUGAGCUGGGUUAUGUGAGGCUUGAAAGGCGAGUGCAGGGUACCAAGCACUGUUGGAACUCAGGCAUAGUGUUACUUAUCUGCAGGCCUGCCUUGUUGGUCUGGGGCAGCAGCUGCGCCCUUGCCAGGUCCUCCUGCCAAAUCGGCAUCCCCGACUUCUGGACCAGAUGCAUAUUUAGCUCCAUGAUGGAAGACACCGGCUUAUUUUUCAUUCUGUUUGUCUUCACUUGCUGUGCUUCACAUUCAUCUUCUCUUCCCAACCGCCUCUAUGUGGACUUCAGGUGCCACCACCAGACACAAAAACAACUUUACAUCCUUCCUUAGACCUCUUAACCAGCUCCCACAGUCCAAUAAUGUGAGCACUUCCAUUUCCAGCCCAUCCAUCUAUGAUUCCUAUUUAAGCAGAAAAUAAAGGCUUCCUGGGGAAAAAGAAGUGGAUAUGAUAAAUGGAAAAUGGAGUUGGAUAAUAAACAACAAUAUGCAGCCUUCUAUCUAGAGUAGGUCAAAAGAGAAGCUGACAUAUGCUAGCUUUUGACUAUGCCCUGAGGAAUCUGUUGCCAUCAAAAGGGUUAACAAUUUGAAGGGUCGAAAAAUGAAGAAAACUCCUCAACAGCUGUUUUCAAAACAAGAAAAGCCAAAGAUUGACUGCUUUUACUCCACUCCAUCUCUGGUUUUUGCUUCCAUCAAGUUGUCUCAGCUUCAGUGGCAUGAUUAAACAAAAACAACAGCAGCGAAUACAGGAUUUGCCAACCCAAAGAAACAGUGAUCCUUCUUGAGUACCUCUUCUUUACUGUGCUAGACCCUGGACUAGCGAGGAAUAAUUUAGUAUCUUUGAAGGCAAAGCUUCAAGCCUCUUAAAAUGCAAACCGAUGAGUCACUGAGGAAGAGAAGUUUGCUUUACCUUAAGCAGUUUCCACAUCUGAUGCUCUCAAUUUCUCUUCAUGCUCUGUGGCCUUAUUCAGAGUAUUUCCUCUACCCACAAAGUGGCUCAACAUCCGAUGGCAUGAGAGUGUGUCAUCUGUUAAUAAUUUGCUUAAUAAUAUCUCCCCCUAAUGGUAACUAAAGACCUUAAAAAAAAUGAAAAACAAAGUUGUCAGUCUGUGGAAAGAAGAUGGGAAAAUUAAAAUAUAUGCAGAAACGGUGAUGAUCAUAAAGACCAUAUCUAAUUAGCAUGCAGAGGGACUUUGGAGCGACUUUUCAAUAAUGACCAAGUUCCUCUUCUCUUACCAAUCCUUUAAAGCCUAAGCACUUCAUCAAAUACCUUCCCCCAGUCCACCAUAACCACUCCAGACAGAUAAGAUCUUCUCAGUUUGGGAACUCCCAUAGCACUUUGGUCUUGCACCAGAAACACAACUGUGAAUAUUAAAACUCACUGUUAUAGUUACAUGUGCUCUUGCUGUGAUUCCAGAUACAGUGCAAGCUCCUCUCUUAAGGAGUAUGUCUCAUUCAGAUUGGUACUCACAGCUCCUAGUUUAGUUUCUUAGUUACUUAAGAAGCUUUAAUAAUGAUCGUGAAUGUUAGUAAUUCAAAGAGAGAUUAAGUAACUUUUGCUGUCAUAUAGCUGACUAAUGUUAUAACUAAGAACCCACAUUUCUAAUUCUUACACUUACAAGUUCACAGAUACCUACUGUCUUCCUGAAGUAUAACUAAUCAUGCUCAAAAACCAAAUAAAACUUCAAUGGCUCCCCAACACUUAAAGAACUCUGGACUCCCCUUCUAAUCUGUUCAUCCAGUCUUUUCCAUCUCUACCCCAUUCCAUAAAUCAAAACACAGGAAUCAUUCUUGAUUCUUCUCUUUUUCUCGUAUUCUUCAUGAUUAAGUCAUAUCAGAUCUGCUUUCAAAAUAUACCCCAAAUCUGGAUACUUCACGUUACUUCUUCUCUUACCUCCCAAGUCCAAGGAACCAGCACUCAUUACUCAAAUAUUCAUAUAGCCGCCUUGUUAAUUACUGAAAAUUUUCUCUCUGUUUCUAGCCUUACCCAUCUCUAAUCCAUUUUUCACAUAAAAGACCAAUUGGAUUGACUUUUCAAAAACUGUCAAUCAUACCUCAAAAUAUCCCCAUUUAAAAUAUUCCAUUACCUUUCAUUGCAUUUAGGGAAAUACACAAACUCCUAACCAUGACCUAGAAGGUCCUCUAUGAGCUAGCCCCAGUUAAACGUGUAAAUUAAGCCACAUUUGUCUUUGCUUCUUUCAUCCCUCUGCUUAAAUUUCUUCUUUCCCUCCAUUUCACCAUUUUUGGAGGGACUCUGCAGAUAACCAGGUGGGUUGGUACAUAAUUUUAUCUACAUUUCACUUAGGUUGGCCAAGUGCCUCAGAAUGAUCUGAAUAGUUAAUAUAAGAGGUUUCAGCCCAUGAUAUAAAAAAAAAAUUUAAUAAAAAAUUAACUUCCCAAUUAAGCAAAGUGUAUUAUUAUCACGACCUGGCAUGCUUUGGAGACAGACAUUUUCCCUGGAAAAGGCUUUUGCACUUACUUCCUGGGCCAACACCUCAUGUUUCUGGGCCAAUUUGCUAUUUGGAUGUUAAUCUUAUUGACACCUCAAGACAGGUGUCUCUUGCAGAGCAGCCUGGGAAGACAUGACUCCUGCUUCAUAGUUGGUAUUUUCCACCAGCCAGAAUUCAGGACACUGUUAUAUUAUUAUUUUUCUUGAUUCUCAUAGAA